This 444-nucleotide ribosomal RNA is filed under the name uncultured bacterium. RNAcentral describes it as "partial 16S ribosomal RNA". It matches the Rfam family "Bacterial small subunit ribosomal RNA", at positions 338 to 795 of the family's 1533-position model. The record is from RNAcentral.
CCUACGGGAGACAGCAGUGGGGAAUAUUGGGCAAUGGAGGAAACUCUGACCCAGCAAUGCCGCGUGAAUGAAGAAGGUCUUCGGAAUGUAAAGUUCUUUAGUCAGGGAAGAAGUCAAUGACGGUACCUGAAGAAUGAGCUCCGGCUAACUACGUGCCAGCAGCGGCGGUACUACGUAGGGAGCAAGCGUUGUUCGGAAUGACUGGGCGUAAAGGGUGCGUAGGCGGUUGUACAAGUUAGAAGUGAAAUACCCCGGGCUUAACUCGGGUGCUGCUUCUAAAACUGUAUGACUUGAGUGCAGUAGAGGUUAGUGGAAUUCGUAGUGUAGCGGUGGAAUGCGUAGAUAUUAGGAGGAACACCAGAGGCGAAGGCGGCUAACUGGACUGCAACUGACGCUGAGGCACGAAAGUGUGGGGAGCAACCAGGAUUAGAUACCCGUGUAGUC